This 310-nucleotide ribosomal RNA is filed under the name uncultured bacterium. Its description in RNAcentral is "partial 16S ribosomal RNA". It matches the Rfam family "Bacterial small subunit ribosomal RNA", at positions 503 to 807 of the family's 1533-position model. The record is from RNAcentral.
AAGAGACAGCAGCCGCCACGGUAAUACAGAGGGUGCGAGCGUUAAUCGGAUUUACUGGGCGUAAAGCGUGCGUAGGCGGCUUCUUAAGUCGGAUGUGAAAUCCCUGAGCUUAACUUAGGAAUUGCAUUCGAUACUGGGAAGCUAGAGUAUGGGAGAGGAUGGUAGAAUUCCAGGUGUAGCGGUGAAAUGCGUAGAGAUCUGGAGGAAUACCGAUGGCGAAGGCAGCCAUCUGGCCUAAUACUGACGCUGAGGUACGAAAGCAUGGGGAGCAAACAGGAUUAGAUACCCCGGUAGUCCCUGUCUCUUAUAC